This 422-nucleotide ribosomal RNA is filed under the name uncultured prokaryote. RNAcentral's name for it is "bacterial SSU rRNA". It matches the Rfam family "Bacterial small subunit ribosomal RNA", at positions 355 to 774 of the family's 1533-position model. The record is from RNAcentral.
UGAGGAAUAUUGGUCAAUGGGCGGAAGCCUGAACCAGCCAAGUCGCGUGAAGGAAGAAGGAUCUAUGGUUUGUAAACUUCUUUUGAAGGGGGAUAAAGUGCGUCACGAGUGGUGCAUUGCAGGUACCCUUGGAAUAAGCAUCGGCUAACUCCGUGCCAGCAGCCGCGGUAAUACGGAGGAUGCGAGCGUUAUCCGGAUUUAUUGGGUUUAAAGGGUGCGUAGGUGGCUUUUUAAGUCAGCGGUGAAAACUGGCGGCUCAACCGCAAGAGUGCCGUUGAAACUGGGGAGCUAGAGUAUGAACGAGGUAGGCGGAAUGUGUGGUGUAGCGGUGAAAUGCAUAGAUAUCACGCAGAACUCCGAUAGCGAAGGCAGCUUACCAGGCCAUAACAGACACUGAAGCACGAAAGCGUGGGGAUCGAACA